UGCGAGCGUACGGGUAUGACUAGCAAAGGAGAGAUGGUUCUAGUACCUGCUGCCUGUGGGAUUUAUUUUGUGCCAGGAAGGAGCUGAGGUGCUGACUACUGAAUAACACCUAAACUUUAUUUCUGAUGCUUCUCCCGAUAAUACAUUGGGGCAGGUGCAGGAAGCUACUACAGGAGAGGCGGUUUACUAACUUUUUCAAGGCUUGGGAUUGCACAAAGGAGCAGUAUAUUUUAGAAGCUACGGAGAAAGUUCAGAACAACAUGGUCGAAAGGUGCUGAUCUCAUGAGAGCAACUUACAUAUGCCAAAGGAAGGACAUGUUGUUUGAGGGAAAACCUACUUGUAAAUAUGUGCAAACUGCAAGGUAAAUAAUUUCUGUUUCCGGUAAAUUGAUGGAAUAUGCUCUCUGCAUUGGUGUGAUGGUUUAACCCCAGCCAGCAACUAAGCACCAAGCAGCCGCUUCCCCCUCCCUGCUCCCAGUGGGAUGGGGAGGAGGGGAAAAAAAAAAAAAGAGGUAAAGCUCGUGAGUGGAGAUAAGAACAGUUUAAUAACGAAAGUAAAAUAUACUGCCAACUAAGAAUAAUAUAAUAAUAAUAGUAAUGAA
This is a long non-coding RNA of Gymnogyps californianus (California condor), 602 nucleotides long. RefSeq lists it as uncharacterized. The record is from RefSeq and is a predicted model, not a curated record. NCBI's taxonomy places the organism in Eukaryota, Metazoa, Chordata, Aves, Accipitriformes, Cathartidae. The transcript has 3 exons.